AAGGCUUUAGCUUAAUUAAAGUGUUUGAGUUGCAUUCAAUUGAUGUGGGAUAGAGUCCUGCAAGCCUUA
RNAcentral lists this transfer RNA (69 nucleotides) under Xenopus largeni. Its description in RNAcentral is "tRNA-Ala". It matches the Rfam family "tRNA". Rfam says of the family: Transfer RNA (tRNA) molecules are approximately 80 nucleotides in length. Their secondary structure includes four short double-helical elements and three loops (D, anti-codon, and T loops). The record is from RNAcentral. Lineage: Eukaryota; Metazoa; Chordata; Amphibia; Anura; Pipidae.